AUUCCAGCUCCAAUAGCGUAUAUUAAAGUUGUUGUGGUUAAAAAGCUCGUAGUUGGAUCUCGGCGGUCUGAGGGCGGUUCGCUUCAGAGCGCUACUGCCCUAUAGACCGUAGUUUUGCCAGAGGUCUCAGGGUGCUCUUAACCGAGUGUCUUGCGAUGCUGGCAGGUUUACUUUGAAAAAAUUUGAGUGCUCAAAGCAGGCUUUUACGCCUGAAUAUUCGUGCAUGGAAUAAUAGAAUAGGAAGUCGUUUCUAUUUUGUUGGUUUUCGGAAAUCGACUUAAUGAUUAAUAGGGACAGUCGGGGGCAUUUGUAUUCAAACGACAGAGGUGAAAUUCUUGGACCGUUUGAAGACAAACUACUGCGAAAGCAUUUGCCAAGAAUGUUUUCAUCA
This 391-nucleotide ribosomal RNA is filed under the name Pseudocalanus sp. Its description in RNAcentral is "partial small subunit ribosomal RNA". It matches the Rfam family "Eukaryotic small subunit ribosomal RNA", at positions 582 to 975 of the family's 1831-position model. The record is from RNAcentral. Lineage: Eukaryota; Metazoa; Arthropoda; Copepoda; Calanoida; Clausocalanidae.